RNAcentral lists this long non-coding RNA (348 nucleotides) under Elaeis guineensis (African oil palm). RNAcentral's name for it is "long non-coding RNA (EGUI_LNC051869)". The record is from RNAcentral. Lineage: Eukaryota; Viridiplantae; Streptophyta; Magnoliopsida; Arecales; Arecaceae.
GAGACAGACCUUGCAGAUCUAUCCUACUGCAGCCUUUCUUGUAGAUCUGUUGAUGGAGAUCUCACCCGUGCCUCAAACGACCUCAGAUUAACUCCAGAUCUGAGAGGAACUUGUACCAACCUCUUCUCAAGAGAUUUCAAAUCUUGGACCUAGUGUUUGGGUGACUGCAAGAGAGGGAGAGAAGAAAAUGGCUAGCGGCUGCAAGGGGGAAGGGGCUAGCGCCUCCCCUUCUUCUCUUUCCUUUUAUGGACUGGCGGCAAGAAACCCUAGGAUUUCUUGCUCCUGGGGCAUGGAGGAUGGUUGGAGAGAGAGGGAGAAGAGAGAGAGAGAGACUUGGGAGAAAGAGUC